GGGGAUUUAGCUCAGUGGUUGAGCGCUUGCCUAGCAAGCGCAAGGCCCUGGGUUCAGUCCCCA
RNAcentral lists this transfer RNA (63 nucleotides) under Rattus norvegicus (Norway rat). It matches the Rfam family "tRNA". From Rfam's summary of the family: Transfer RNA (tRNA) molecules are approximately 80 nucleotides in length. Their secondary structure includes four short double-helical elements and three loops (D, anti-codon, and T loops). Lineage: Eukaryota; Metazoa; Chordata; Mammalia; Rodentia; Muridae. The record is from Rfam by way of RNAcentral.